RNAcentral lists this ribosomal RNA (481 nucleotides) under uncultured bacterium. RNAcentral's name for it is "bacterial SSU rRNA". It matches the Rfam family "Bacterial small subunit ribosomal RNA", at positions 28 to 500 of the family's 1533-position model. The record is from RNAcentral.
GAUGAACGCUAGCGGCAGGCUUAACACAUGCAAGUCGAGGGGCAGCACAGGUAGCAAUACCGGGUGGCGACCGGCAAACGGGUGCGGAACACGUACAGAACCUACCUUGAUCUGGGGCAUAGCCCGAAGAAAUUCGGAUUAACUCCCCAUAACAUAGACGAGUGGCAUCACUUAACUAUUAAAAUUUAAUUGGAUCGAGAUGGCUGUGCGUCCCAUUAGCUAGUUGGUAGGGAACGGCCUACCAAGGCGACGAUGGGUAGCUGGUGUGAGAGCACGACCAGCCACACGGGCACUGAGACACGGGCCCGACUCCUACGGGAGGCAGCAGUGAGGAAUAUUGGUCAAUGGACGCAAGUCUGAACCAGCCAUGCCGCGUGAAGGAUGAAGGCCUUCUGGGUUGUAAACUUUCUUUUAUUCUGGGAAGAAAACUUAAGGUUUCUUACUUUAGUCCGACGGUACCAGAGGAAUAAGCACCGGCUAA